This 448-nucleotide ribosomal RNA is filed under the name uncultured crenarchaeote. Its description in RNAcentral is "bacterial SSU rRNA". It matches the Rfam family "Archaeal small subunit ribosomal RNA", at positions 327 to 777 of the family's 1478-position model. The record is from RNAcentral. Lineage: Archaea; Thermoproteati; Thermoproteota.
GGGGUGCAGCAGGCGCGAAAACUUCGCAAUGCGCGAAAGCGUGACGAGGUCAGCCCGAGUNCCGUCCGCUGAGGACGGCUUUUCUUUGGUUUAAGGAGCCGGGGGAAUAAGAGGAGGGUAAGUCUGGUGUCAGCCGCCGCGGUAAUACCAGCUUCUCGAGUGGUGGGGGCGAUUAUUGGNCNUAAAGCGUCCGUAGCUUGCUUGUCAAGUCUUCCGUCAAAUCCGACGAUUCAAUCGUUGGUCCGCGGAGGAUACUGUCAAGCUUGGGGGCGGAAGAGGCUGGCGGUAUUCCCAGGGUAGGGGUGAAAUCCUAUAAUCCCGGGAGGACCACCAGUGGCGAAGGCGNCCAGCUAGCACGCGCCCGACGGUGAGGGACGAAAGCUGGGGGAGCAAACCGGAUUAGAUACCCGGGUAGUCCCAGCUGUAAACGAUGCAGACUAGGUGUUGG